RNAcentral lists this transfer RNA (77 nucleotides) under Planctomycetota bacterium. Its description in RNAcentral is "Planctomycetes bacterium (soil metagenome) tRNA-Arg". It matches the Rfam family "tRNA". From Rfam's summary of the family: Transfer RNA (tRNA) molecules are approximately 80 nucleotides in length. Their secondary structure includes four short double-helical elements and three loops (D, anti-codon, and T loops). The record is from RNAcentral. Lineage: Bacteria; Pseudomonadati; Planctomycetota. RNAcentral also lists the same sequence under 1 other name.
GCACCCAUAGCUCAGCUGGAUAGAGCAAGUGCCUUCUAAGCACUAGGUCGCAGGUUCGACUCCUGCUGGGUGCGCCA